This 643-nucleotide ribosomal RNA is filed under the name Pseudomonas sp. RNAcentral describes it as "bacterial SSU rRNA". It matches the Rfam family "Bacterial small subunit ribosomal RNA", at positions 79 to 718 of the family's 1533-position model. Lineage: Bacteria; Pseudomonadati; Pseudomonadota; Gammaproteobacteria; Pseudomonadales; Pseudomonadaceae. The record is from RNAcentral.
CUUGCUCUUCGAUUCAGCGGCGGACGGGUGAGUAAUGCCUAGGAAUCUGCCUGGUAGUGGGGGACAACGUUUCGAAAGGAACGCUAAUACCGCAUACGUCCUACGGGAGAAAGCAGGGGACCUUCGGGCCUUGCGCUAUCAGAUGAGCCUAGGUCGGAUUAGCUAGUUGGUGAGGUAAUGGCUCACCAAGGCGACGAUCCGUAACUGGUCUGAGAGGAUGAUCAGUCACACUGGAACUGAGACACGGUCCAGACUCCUACGGGAGGCAGCAGUGGGGAAUAUUGGACAAUGGGCGAAAGCCUGAUCCAGCCAUGCCGCGUGUGUGAAGAAGGUCUUCGGAUUGUAAAGCACUUUAAGUUGGGAGGAAGGGCAGUAAGAUAAUACCUUGCUGUUUUGACGUUACCGACAGAAUAAGCACCGGCUAACUCUGUGCCAGCAGCCGCGGUAAUACAGAGGGUGCAAGCGUUAAUCGGAAUUACUGGGCGUAAAGCGCGCGUAGGUGGUUUGUUAAGUUGGAUGUGAAAGCCCCGGGCUCAACCUGGGAACUGCAUCCAAAACUGGCAAGCUAGAGUACGGUAGAGGGUGGUGGAAUUUCCUGUGUAGCGGUGAAAUGCGUAGAUAUAGGAAGGAACACCAGUGGCGA